Molecule: non-coding RNA, 395 nt
Organism: Macaca mulatta (Rhesus monkey)
Lineage: Eukaryota; Metazoa; Chordata; Mammalia; Primates; Cercopithecidae
Source: RefSeq, a predicted model, not a curated record
AGCAGGGUCCAUUUUCAUCAGUGGAAGGAAUGGAGGUGGGGAGGGGUCCUCCUCUGAGAUAACUAGUCUGGAGCCCAGCGAAAUCACUUGAGUCUAGACGUUUAAAAAAAGAAAAUAAUAAUACAUUUGAAGAUGGAGAUAAAGGGCCGGAGGUGAAGGACGGUGCCCUUACAAGGAGAGUAAGUGCCACCUCAUCAGUGCCACCCUCAUCUACCAGAGAGCUCUCCCUCUCUCCAUGGGCACACAGAGAAGAGGCCGUGUGAGGACACAGUGAGAAGACAGUCAUCUGCAAACCAGGAAGAGAGUCCUCAGCAGAACCCAGCCCGGCCGGCACCUUGAUCUUGGACUGCCAGACUCUGGAACUGUGAGAAAAUAAACAUCUGGUUUUGUUUGUU